This is a long non-coding RNA of Erigeron canadensis, 722 nucleotides long. RefSeq lists it as uncharacterized. Lineage: Eukaryota; Viridiplantae; Streptophyta; Magnoliopsida; Asterales; Asteraceae. The transcript is spliced from 2 exons. The record is from RefSeq and is a predicted model, not a curated record.
GUUAGACCGUGGGUAAAGAGACUUGACUACCUGAGUCUUCAAAGACGAUAAUACAUCGUGGCGGAAAAAAAAAAGUUGCAAAACGAGCGGAAGACGCCACGUGGCUUGGAAUGAAAGUAGUUAAUAUGCGUGUGCCUUCAUGCGAAGGUCCAGUUUUUACAAUAAUUUUCCCCCAAAUUUCAAGUUCUCGAAUGAAAGUAAUUAGUCUGUGUGGUGGAGAUGGAAUGAGCUCUGAAGGUUACCAAGAGAAUCCAAGAGAUGUCGGAUGAUUGAUGUUUCUGCUAGAACUUGGGCUUGGACUUGCAUGGAUCCAGGAUUCAUUCCCCCCCCCCCCCCACCUUAUUUUGAAUUAUGUGUUACGUACUUUUUUGUUUAAUGUUGGAUUCACUGAAUCCCUUUUAUUCAUAUAGUUCAUGUUCUACGAUAAUACCAUGCAUACGAUAUAUCUUUUCGGUAAUAUUUUGAGCCUAACUCGGGGUGUUACAUUACCCCUUUUUUUAAUCCGGUGGUGGUGAUUGGGAUUAUGGGAAUUUUAAUAACCUAGAUUUGGGAAUUCACGACGGUGGUGGUUUGGUCGUAGGCCGCCGAUGGCAAAGAUAAAAAGGGUGGAUUCAUCAAAUCGCUUACAUGGGGGAGUCGUUCUCUUCACCUACAAUCCUGCUUUCUUCUUAUGAUGUUUGGAUCUCUUAUUUGUCACCAUUUACCCAUUAUAGCUUUCAUCA